This is a non-coding RNA of Caenorhabditis elegans, 93 nucleotides long. The record is from Ensembl. Lineage: Eukaryota; Metazoa; Nematoda; Chromadorea; Rhabditida; Rhabditidae.
AGCAGAGGUUUUCAGUAUCGUGAAGAUGGCAAAACUGGUGAUCGAUAGAUGAAUGUUCUGAAUUUAAUGAAGUUAAUUUGAAAUAUAAUAAAA